This 459-nucleotide long non-coding RNA is filed under the name Eutrema salsugineum. RNAcentral describes it as "long non-coding RNA (ESAL_LNC001384)". Lineage: Eukaryota; Viridiplantae; Streptophyta; Magnoliopsida; Brassicales; Brassicaceae. The record is from RNAcentral.
UCACGUUUGUGGCGGCGGCCGCCGUCAUUAGCCUGGAGAGUCCGUAAUCGGCGAUCUGUGCGUUGGUCUGCUCGUCGAGGAGGAUAUUGCUGGCCGUGAGAUUCUCGUGGAUCGUGUUCUCGUUGCUGUGAAGGUGAGCCAAGCCACGAGCGAUCCCUUUUGCUAUCUUCAUCCUUGUUUCCCAUGGAAUUAGGGUUUCUGGUCCUCGAGCUGUUGAUUUCAAUUCCCAAAUUCAGAAUCACUAAUAUGUCAAAAUCUCAAUUAAAAUCCAAAUUAGGUUUUGUUUUUUUUUGGGUUUUGAUUUGCUUACCGUGAAGAAACGCAGAGAGGCUACCCUUGGACAUGUAAUCGAAGACGAGGAGCUUCUCUCCUUUGGGUCCUAAGUAGUAAGCUCUUAGAGCAAGAAGAUUCGGGUGUCGAAUCUUGCCCAAAGCUGUGACCUCUCCUUCAAACUCUUUG